RNAcentral lists this ribosomal RNA (498 nucleotides) under uncultured bacterium. RNAcentral's name for it is "bacterial SSU rRNA". It matches the Rfam family "Bacterial small subunit ribosomal RNA", at positions 29 to 521 of the family's 1533-position model. The record is from RNAcentral.
AAUGAACGCUGGCGGCGCGCCUAAUACAUGCAAGUCGAGCGAGAAGACGUAGCAAUACGUUUGUAAAGCGGCGAACGGGUGAGGAAUACAUGGGUAACCUACCCUCGAGUGGGGAAUAACUAGCCGAAAGGUUAGCUAAUACCGCGUACGCUCCUUGGACUUCGGUUCAGGGAGGAAAGCGAUACCGUGGGUAUCGCGCUCUUGGUUGGGCUCAUGUCCUAUCAGCUUGUUGGGAGGUAACGGCUCACCAAGGCUUCGACGGGUAGCUGGUCUGAGAGGACGAUCAGCCACACUGGCACUGCGACACGGGCCAGACUCCUACGGGAGGCAGCAGUAAGGAAUAUUGCGCAAUGGGCGAAAGCCUGACGCAGCGACGCCGCGUGGGGGAUGAAGGUCUUCGGAUUGUAAACCCCUUUCGGGAGGGAAGAUGGAACGAGCAAUCGUUCGGACGGUACCUCCAGAAGCAGCCACGGCUAACUUCGUGCCAGCAGCCGCGGU